AUUGAACGCUGGCGGCAUGCCUUACACAUGCAAGUCGAACGGUAACAGGUCUUCGGAUGCUGACGAGUGGCGCACGGGUGAGUAAUACAUCGGAACGUGCCCAGACGUGGGGGAUAACGAGGCGAAAGCUUUGCUAAUACCGCAUACGAUCUAAGGAUGACAGCAGGGGACCGCAAGGCCUUGUGCGUUUGGAGCGGCCGAUGGCAGAUUAGGUAGUUGGUGGGAUAAAAGCUUACCAAGCCGACGAUCUGUAGCUGGUCUGAGAGGACGACCAGCCACACUGGGACUGAGACACGGCCCAGACUCCUACGGGAGGCAGCAGUGGGGAAUUUUGGACAAUGGGCGAAAGCCUGAUCCAGCAAUGCCGCGUGCAGGAUGAAGGCCUUCGGGUUGUAAACUGCUUUUGUACGGAACGAAAAGGCUCUGGCUAAUACCUGGGGCACAUGACGGUACCGUAAGAAUAAGCACCGGCUAACUACGUG
This 482-nucleotide ribosomal RNA is filed under the name uncultured bacterium. RNAcentral describes it as "partial 16S ribosomal RNA". It matches the Rfam family "Bacterial small subunit ribosomal RNA", at positions 30 to 507 of the family's 1533-position model. The record is from RNAcentral.